UAUUAAGAUUUUAUAGAACAUAUUCUAUUCAGUAAAUAUUGAAUGUACCUGAUUGUGUUCUGUAUAGAUCUACUUAUUGUCAGCGACCGACAGAUGGAGCAAACUGGGUUGUAGUGGGUGUUGAGUUGAGCUGCAGGCCGCGCCCCUCCCUGCCUGAGUGCAUCAGGUGUGGGUGUGUCUCCCAGCCUGAAGGCAGCAGACUGAGUGCACCAGGUGGAGAUGAUUUGGUGAUCGGGGGAGUUUGGAGGCACUCACUCACAGGAUGGUGAGAGGAAGCAGUGUGUGGAAGAAAUGGUUGGAGAGACUGGACUUGGGUUUUUCACCUGUUAUUGGCCUCGGAAACUUUCAAAAUAAAAGAAAGAAAAGAAAGAAAGCUGAAUCUUGGUCAUUGAGUGAAUUCCAGUCCAAUCUUCUGAAGCAAGCUGCCUUUUCAAGUGGGGGGAGCUGCAGGUGAAACCUCACAAGAGUGAGGGCCACCUGACAGUGGGAGCACUGGGCUGUCAGUGGGUGUGACUGUGUGGCAAAUGGUUUACAUGGCUUAUGGCUCAGGUAGGAGGGCCCCUUAGCAGAGGUUUGCUGAAGGCCCCAGGGAGGUCAGGACUGGCUCUGGGUACCAGGUUGCUGAAGGGGGGAGGGGGCAUGGAUGAUCUGAAGAGGAGGCGGGUGGCGAGCAUCAGCUCAGUUGCUUUUGUUCUGUGACAAACUGGGAUGUUUACUGAUGUUGUUUAAAAUGAACAGAAGACACAUUUGAAGUGAAUAUUCUAGUGAACUGGAUCACUAGUUAAAGUCACAACCUGAUAUAGUUUAUUGUGUAUUAUUUUCUCAUAUUGUAGAGGGGAAGUCUGGUUCCUAUGGAGGGGGUGUGACGGCAGGGCCUGCUCUGUGUGUGUGUGUGUGUGUGUGUGUGUGUGUGUGUGUGUGUGUAUGUGUGUGUGUGAGUUCAUCGGCGCACUGGGACCACCUGGCCAGUCUCCCAAGGGCUCUGAAGAUCUGGACCCCUCGUUCCUCCAGCCAUGUUCCUGUUUGGUUGGCUUCGGCCGUGUCAUUAGUUCAGUUUCUGCACCUCACAACGCCCUCAUUUAUGUGCUGACACACUGAUACCACUGACCAACACACCUCAUCAUUCCACUGUGGGAUUGCACUUGCAUUAUAUUUUAGUAAUAAACUCGUUCAUCUUUGACUUCAAA
This is a long non-coding RNA of Dicentrarchus labrax (European seabass), 1187 nucleotides long. RefSeq lists it as uncharacterized. The transcript is spliced from 2 exons. The record is from RefSeq and is a predicted model, not a curated record. Lineage: Eukaryota; Metazoa; Chordata; Actinopteri; Moronidae.